UACAGAGGGUGCAAGCGUUGUUCGGAAUUAUUGGGCGUAAAGCGCGUGUAGGCGGCAUGGCAAGUCGGGUGUGAAAGCCCUCAGCUCAACUGAGGAAGUGCGCCCGAAACUGCUUUGCUUGAGUGCUGGAGAGGGUCGCGGAAUUCCCCAAGUAGAGGUGAAAUUCGUAGAUAUGGGGAGGAACACCGGUGGCGAAGGCGGUGACCUGGACAGUAACUGACGCUGAGACGCGAAAGCGUGGGUAGCAAACAGG
This 253-nucleotide ribosomal RNA is filed under the name uncultured bacterium. RNAcentral's name for it is "partial 16S ribosomal RNA". It matches the Rfam family "Bacterial small subunit ribosomal RNA", at positions 524 to 776 of the family's 1533-position model. The record is from RNAcentral.